Molecule: ribosomal RNA, 526 nt
Filed under: Capronia sp. EXF-9885
Lineage: Eukaryota; Fungi; Ascomycota; Eurotiomycetes; Chaetothyriales; Herpotrichiellaceae
Description: eukaryotic LSU rRNA
Rfam family: 5.8S ribosomal RNA (bases 236-390)
Source: RNAcentral
ACGUAACAAGGUUUCCGUAGGUGAACCUGCGGAAGGAUCAUUACCGAGUUAGGGUCUUCUAGGCCCGACCUCCCAACCCUGUGUCUAUCUAACCUUUUGUUGCUUCGGCGAGCCCGUCCCCUGGGGACCGCCGGAGGACCCCUAAAGUCCUCUGGCCCGCGCCCGCCGAUGGCCCAAAACCACAAACUCUUUGAACUAAACAUGAAUUGUCUAAGUACCACAUUUAAUAAAACAAAACUUUCAACAACGGAUCUCUUGGUUCUGGCAUCGAUGAAGAACGCAGCGAAAUGCGAUAAGUAAUGCGAAUUGCAGAAUUCCAGUGAGUCAUCGAAUCUUUGAACGCACAUUGCGCCCUUUGGCAUUCCGAAGGGCAUGCCUGUUCGAGCGUCAUUAUCACCUCUCAAGCCCCUCGGGUUUGGCCUUGGAGGGUCGGUUGGGCUUCGCCCGACCCCUCCCAAAGACAAUGACGGCGGCUUUGUCUGACCCCCGGUACACUGAGCUUCUUAACCGAGCACGUGCCGGAACC